Long non-coding RNA from Malaclemys terrapin pileata, 319 nucleotides. RefSeq lists it as uncharacterized. The record is from RefSeq and is a predicted model, not a curated record. NCBI's taxonomy places the organism in Eukaryota, Metazoa, Chordata, Testudines, Emydidae. The transcript has 3 exons.
UUGGCAUAUAUCACAUUCUGAGAAGCAAACUCUUCCUGAAGGCUGUGAAUCAGAGAUUGACAGGAGGUUACUAAUCCUUUGCAGGUCCCUUCCGAACCCAUCUGUCAGAGUUUGCCUAGGAAGAACGCCACCCACCCUGCUGUUUGAAUGCGAGGCUGCCGGAGGAUUGAUUCCUAUCUGAGCUGGAUCAGACGCCUCCUCCGACAGGGACUGCUGCCGACAGAGUUCAGGUCUGAGUGUGUCAGCAAUUGCCGAAGGACACCAACAUCGAUUCCCAACUGAACUGGGUCCGCAUGACUAUAUAACUGAUAUAAUAAAG